GGGCCAGUGUGCAUAGUGGCGAUUGCAGGAGUCUGUAAAACUCUGACAUUUGAAACAUCGUUGGUUCGACUCCAACCUGGCCCA
Molecule: transfer RNA, 84 nt
Filed under: Caudoviricetes sp.
Lineage: Duplodnaviria; Heunggongvirae; Uroviricota; Caudoviricetes
Description: tRNA-Tyr
Rfam family: tRNA
About the family: Transfer RNA (tRNA) molecules are approximately 80 nucleotides in length. Their secondary structure includes four short double-helical elements and three loops (D, anti-codon, and T loops). Further hydrogen bonds mediate the characteristic L-shaped molecular structure. tRNAs have two regions of fundamental functional importance: the anti-codon, which is responsible for specific mRNA codon recognition, and the 3' end, to which the tRNAs corresponding amino acid is attached (by aminoacyl-tRNA synthetases). tRNAs cope with the degeneracy of the genetic code in two manners: having more than one tRNA (with a specific anti-codon) for a particular amino acid; and 'wobble' base-pairing, i.e. permitting non-standard base-pairing at the 3rd anti-codon position.
Source: RNAcentral